This 1833-nucleotide ribosomal RNA is filed under the name Triticum aestivum (bread wheat). Its description in RNAcentral is "partial small subunit ribosomal RNA". Lineage: Eukaryota; Viridiplantae; Streptophyta; Magnoliopsida; Poales; Poaceae. The record is from RNAcentral.
AUGGAGAGGAUGGCUCAAUCCUACUUCAAGGAGAUUUUCACUAAGGAUCCAACUCUUUCCCCCGAUGAGAUUCUUGACUGUAUAGUACCGAAGGUCACCGAUGAGAUGAAUGAUAUGUUAUGCAAGCUGUCCUCUGAUGAGGAAAUCUCUAACGCCCUAUUCCAGAUCGGUCCCAUCAAAGCGCCGGGCUGUGACGGUUUGCCGGCCAGGUUCUUUUAGCGUAACUGGGCACUGCUGAAGGUGGAAAUUGUUGCUGCAGUCCGUGAGUUUUUUGUGACUGGUGUUAUGCCUGAAGGAGUUAAUGACACGGCUAUUGUGCUAAUUCCGAAGGUCCCUCACCCUAAGGACCUGAAAGAUUUUCGGCCAGUAAGCUUCUGUAAUGUCAUUUACAAGAUUGUCUCGAAGUGUAUGGUGAAUAGAUUGCAUCCUAUUCUGACAGAGCUUAUUUCAGAAAACCAAAGCGCCUUCACUCCUGGGAGGCUAAUCACUGACAACCCCAUAAUUGCAUUUGAGUGUCUCCAUCACAUUCAGACUGCGAGAAACAAUGCACCAAGUCUAUGUGCAUACAAACUUGAUUUAUCUAAAUCCUAUGACCGGGUGGAUUGGUCCUUUUUGGAGAAAGCCCUGGCUAGGUGAGGCUUUUCAGAGCUAUGGAUUUCUCAUUUUAUGGCAUGUGUGUCCUCAGUCAAGUAUUCGGUGAAAUUUAAUGGCAAGUUAUUGGAGUCCUUCUCUCCCUCUAGGGGACUCUGCCAAGGUGACCCCUUGUCCCCUUUCCUCUUCUUAUUUUUUGCUGAUGCCCUGCCUUUGUUGAUGGAGAAGGCUGCAAGAGAGGACGGGCUCAAAGGUGUUACGAUUUGUAGAGGGGCUCUGGAGAUCACACACCUCUUAUUUGCGGAUGAUUCACUCUUGUUCUUCCAUGCUACGCAACAACAGGCAUGGUUGGUGAAUGGAAUGUUGAACACAUUUGUGGCGGCGACUGGACAACUUAUCAACCCAUCGAAGUGUUCCAUUCUAUUUUCAGCACAAUGCCCAUCCAAUGUGGUACAAGAGAUAAAGCUUACGUUGGAAAUUUCACAGGAGGCCUUUGAACCCAAGUACUUGGGCCUGCCUGUGCCCGAGGGGAGGAUGCACAAGGGGAACUUUGAGUCCACCCAGGAGCAUUUGAGGAAGAUUCUCGUUGACUAGAGCGAGCAAUAUAUGUCCACGGGGAACAAAGAUAUCCUUAUCAAAUCUGUUGCUCAGGCCAUCCCUACAUAUGUUAUGAGCGUAUUUAAACUCCAUGCCUCGGUAUACGAUGAUAUCACACGUAUGAUACGCCAGUAUUGGUGGGGAGUUGAGAAUGGUAAGAAGAAGAUGGCUUGGAUGAGCGGAAAAUUGAGAUUACCUAAACCCAUGGGAGGAUUGGGUUUUAGAGAUAUGAGGACGUUCAACCAGGCUUUGCUCGCCAAACAAGCCUGGAGAUUACUGGACAGGCAGGAUAGCUUAUGUGCGCGUUUAAUCAAGGUGAGAUACUACCCCUCAGGCCAGCUUUUGGACACAGUGUUCCAGGGCACUGGCUCAGAAGUUUGGAAAGGAAUCUUGCAUGGUCUUGAGCUGAUUAAAAAGGGUGUCAUUUGGCGUGUCGGCAACGGUAUGAAGAUCCGCACUUGGCGUGACCCAUGGCUCCCCCGACCUUACUCCUUUCGGCCAAUCACCCCGAAGGGAAAUUGCCGCUUCAAUAGGGUUUCGGAUUUCCUGGAUGGCAAUGGUGCAUGGCGGCAGGAUCGGCUCGGUGAGUUUUUCUGGCCCAUGGAUGUUGACCAGAUACUGAAGAUACGUGCAUCGCCUCGCUAG